RNAcentral lists this ribosomal RNA (488 nucleotides) under uncultured bacterium. Its description in RNAcentral is "partial 16S ribosomal RNA". It matches the Rfam family "Bacterial small subunit ribosomal RNA", at positions 30 to 507 of the family's 1533-position model. The record is from RNAcentral.
AUUGAACGCAGGCGGCAGGCCUAACACAUGCAAGUCGAACGGUAGCACAGAGAGCUUGCUCUCGGGUGACGAGUGGCGGACGGGUGAGUAAUGUCUGGGAAACUGCCCGAUGGAGGGGGAUAACUACUGGAAACGGUAGCUAAUACCGCAUAAUGUCGCAAGACCAAAGAGGGGGACCUUCGGGCCUCUUGCCAUCGGAUGUGCCCAGAUGGGAUUAGCUAGUUGGUGAGGUAAUGGCUCACCAAGGCGACGAUCCCUAGCUGGUCUGAGAGGAUGACCAGCCACACUGGAACUGAGACACGGUCCAGACUCCUACGGGAGGCAGCAGUGGGGAAUAUUGCACAAUGGGCGCAAGCCUGAUGCAGCCAUGCCGCGUGUAUGAAGAAGGCCUUCGGGUUGUAAAGUACUUUCAGCGGGGAGGAAGGCAAUGCGGUUAAUAACCGUGUUGAUUGACGUUACCCGCAGAAGAAGCACCGGCUAACUCCGUG